This is a long non-coding RNA of Serinus canaria (Common canary), 1824 nucleotides long. NCBI's taxonomy places the organism in Eukaryota, Metazoa, Chordata, Aves, Passeriformes, Fringillidae. The record is from Ensembl.
GGUGCUCCGGGAGCCGGGCUGCCAGGAGCCAGGGGUGAACGUGGUGACCCAGGACCACGGGUAGGUAUUGCCACAGUCCCCCCAUGUCCCCACAGCCAGGGACACGAAGGCUCAUGGUGCCAGCCCUGACAGGUCUCUGAGCCAGAGCUGCAGCUGUCCCUGGGGUGGGGUGAUGCUGGGGUGCCCCCAACUCCCUUCUCAUAUCCCUUCCUCCUUGCAGGGUGAGGAUGGGCGCCCAGGGCCAGAAGGGGAUCGUGGGCCAGCAGUAAGUGCCCCCCUCCCUCAGCUGCACCCUGGUCUGGGUGAUCCCUUCCUGAGCACACCUCUCUUGUCCCCCACAGGGCUUGCCUGGGAACCGUGGGGAGCGUGGGGACAAGGUAAAGGACUCUGUGGGCUGGGGGGAGAGUGAUGCACCUCCAGGUGCUGGGGUGCCCAGGGAGGUGCUGCCUGCUUCCUGCUGUGCAUCUUUGCAUCAUCUCACCUCAUCCUCACAGGGAGACAUUGGGGCCCCAGGACCCAAAGGAGACAAGGUGAGUCCUUGGGCGGGGGGCAGUGGGGAGGCAGGCAGCAGCCCUGGCCCCCCUUCUCACCUCACCUCUGUCUCUGCUGUGGAUGUACAGGGUGAUACUGUGGUGGUGGAGGGGCCGCCAGGAGCACGGGGCAGCAAGGGGGAGCCGGGAGAGCGUGGCCUGAAGGGCACAGAAGGGGACAAGGGGGACAAGGGGGAGCAAGGCAUGCUCGGAGAGAAGGGCACGAGGGGUGAACAAGGAGAGAAGGGCUCCAUGGGCUUCCCUGGGGCACGUGGCCCUAGUGGGCAGAAGGGAGAGGUUGGAGCACCAGGAGAGCCUGGCGAGCCGGUGAGGAGUUGUGUCUGUGCCUCUGCCACCCCAGUGCAGGGCAGGAGCAGACCCUGCUCAUGCUGUGUGCUCUCCCACAGGGCCAGCCUGGCCGUGAUGGCAUCCCCGGGGCCCGGGGGGACAAGGGGGACAUGGGACCCCUGGGCAUGCGUGGCCUCAAGGUGGGUUGGCUUCUCUGGCUGCCAGCACUCUCCAGUUCUGGCUUGGCAUGGCUCUGACUUCCCAUCCUUGCAGGGUGACCGGGGCAUGAAAGGUGCCUGUGGCCUCAAUGGGGAAAAGGGUGACAAGGUGAGUGUGUGCCUGCAGGGUGCUGCAGGAGCCUGGAUGUUGCCUGGGGUCUGUGGCCCUUUGGAUCCCCUCCCUCAGCCAGCAGGAGCAGGGAGAUGGCUGAGGCCAGACCUUGACCCCGUGACAGGCUCAGGGGGUCCCCUCCUCGGCCUGUGGCUCUGGGCUGAGCACUGAGGGGUGAAGGACUGACUGCCCUGCCUCUCUCCUGCCUGCUGUAGGGAGAGCCAGGGAUCCCAGGGCGCUCGGGACUGCCAGGGAGGAAAGGAGAGCCGGUAAGCACCUCAAUGACACCAGGGUGGGACAGGAAAGCGUGGCUGGUGGCUGAUGGACAUCUGCUUUGUCCUCCAGGGAGAACUGGGUCUGUCAGGACCACCAGGCAUUCCUGGAAAGGAAGGGCUCAUGGGACCCAAGGUAGGUUAGAACUGUGCUGAGAAAAGCUGUGCUGGCACUUCAUCCCCUGGCUGCUUGCCCCCCACUGUGUGUCCCCUGCUGCCUGUCUCUUCCUCUUUGCAGGGUGACCGGGGAUUUGAUGGGCAGCAGGGAGCCAAAGGAGACCAGGGGGAGAAAGGAGACCGGGUGAGCAGGCUGGAAAGGGAUGGGAUGCAUUGCACCACAUUGCUUGUACCAGGAUACAGCCUUGGUUGGAAGCACAUCAGAGCCUGAUGCUCCCAGAAGAGUC